GCGAGAAUUCAAAUAGUGCGGUAGUGUAGUGAUAAGCGUCUUCUUCCAAUGGUAAAUGGUAACGGUUUUUCCCUUGGAGCGACUGAACUAAUCAAGCUAAAGGCCCCAGAAAUGGUUAUACUUCAAGACAUAGCGCGCGAUCUCCAUCUCUGGUGAGGGUCCAACUUCUGACAUGGAAUACAUUAGCCUGGGUCCUGCGAUAGGUGCCUCCAACUAGUCAUACCUGUUUGUCAGUAAUCUACGAACAAGUGCGGGGGGCAGCGUGUCGUCCCUCCUGUGUUCGUGUUCCUUCCUGGGCGAGACCGAAAAAAUAAGGCUAAGGAUUCUAGAUGGGCAGCCUUAUAAAGGUAGGAUUUUCUUUUCUAUGCAUGGGCUAUUUUUUAUUUUUUAUGUAUUUAGCAGUGGGUGAAUAGUGCAUACAGUGAUUAAAGUGAAAAUUGGCUAUUCUUUUAGCUAUCCUUCGUGUUGUCAGUCUAAAUCGGUUAUGAUUAUUUCCUCGGCCCAUCAUUUUGCUGACGUGGGAUUCACUGCAAUAAUUCUUUGAAUGGACGGCAAUCAGUUCACUUCAUGUAAAUCAGUAUGACUAUGAAUUCAUAGCCAUACCAGUUUCGUGAAGUAUAUUGAUCUUUUCUGCGAGUCAUACUAUGAGGAAGUAAUGCAGUUAAUUGUUACGUUCUCAAGAUGAAUGUUUUCGAGGAUAGUCAUAGCCCAUUUAUUACUACACGAAGGUCGAUUUAUUCGUUUUUAAAAGAAGGUGAGUAAUUAAAUCGUUAACUAAUUAGUCUUGUCCUAACUCUUCUUUCAUGCGAUGAGACUGAUUAUUAAACGAAUAUUAUUUACGAGUAUUUGGUGGUCGUACUAAUCUCAUCAAUUGUUCACAGGACCAUCUGCAUUUCCUGACCAGGAUUGAUCAUUCUCAAUCCUAUGCUGGACCUGAUCGGAUUCAAGUCUACUCUCGAUUCUGGUGAUGAAUCUCAAAGUUUAGUCGAACAAGGCGCAAAACAAUUCGGAUUGAUUUGGAUUUCAUACCUGGCAUAACGUAAAAAACAAGGAAAAGGAUUUUUCCU
Long non-coding RNA from Photinus pyralis (common eastern firefly), 1067 nucleotides. RefSeq lists it as uncharacterized. NCBI's taxonomy places the organism in Eukaryota, Metazoa, Arthropoda, Insecta, Coleoptera, Lampyridae. The transcript has 4 exons. The record is from RefSeq and is a predicted model, not a curated record.